CUUUGUUCCUUCUGUGUCAUCCUCCAUCACCUAUCUUCCUUUUGGUGUAUCUUCUUUAGGAACUGACAGAGCCUUGGAAACAAAGCCUGAAAAUGCCAGCUACUGAGAUUUAGUCCAAAGAAGGGGAGAGCUGAAGAAUGGAUGGGUGGAUGAAGAGGGUCAAGACCAUCAUAGCAGAGGCAGAGCUGGGUGAUGGAAGAAAGCAAUACUGUGUUGAAGUAAAUAUGCCUGGAGUUCCUGGAAUCACUCUGGAAUAAAAUUUUCACUCUGUCACUAUUUAAAUAGACUUGUUACUGACCGUUCAAGUUCUGUUUCUCCAUCAGUGAAAUGAUGGUAUGAGAACUUGACGAUUAUCCUCAAGUUCAGGGUCUGUUAUGAGCCAGCCAUCAUAUUAGAGGUGUAUCAUUUAAUUAGUGCUCCUAGAGCAACCAGUAAGGAAAAGGAAAAAGACUGGACAAGAUUUAAGUGGUGGCAGCCAUGGAGGCAAGAACUUGGUGGGAGACUUGAAAAUCAAAAAGGAUGCUGAGGAACUAUAUCCAGUCUCUUGGGAUAGAUCACGAGGGAAGAUAAUAUAAGAAAGGGAAUGUAGAAAUAUACAUAUUUCAAACCAGAUCACUUUGCUGUACUGCAGAAAUUGGCACAACAGUGUAAAUUAACUAUACUUUUUUUUUUUUUUUUUUUAGGGACACACCUGCAGCAUAUGGUAGUUCCCAGGCUAGGGGUUGAACUUGAGCCACAUCUGUGACCUACACUGCAGCUUGUGGCAAUGCCAGAUCCUUAACCCACUGAAUGAGGUCAGGGAUCAAACCCGCAUCCUUAUGGAUACUAGUUGGGUUCUUAACCCGCUGAGCCACAAAAGGAAUUGCCCAAAUCAACUGUACUUUAAUAAAAAAGAAAUAAUUUUUUUUUAAAGGGAUGCU
RNAcentral lists this long non-coding RNA (920 nucleotides) under Sus scrofa (pig). RNAcentral's name for it is "lncRNA (ENSSSCG00070017270.1)". The record is from RNAcentral. Lineage: Eukaryota; Metazoa; Chordata; Mammalia; Artiodactyla; Suidae.